CAAAGGAUGCCAUGAAUCAGAAUAUAACUUCGGCCCAAGAUAGGAAAAUGUAGUUGCCAUUAUGUGAUGACUAUAUAUUUAUAUAUAUAUAUAUAAUUCAAGAGCCAUGGUUAGGGGUUCAUGAUUUGGAUCCUAUUCACUUCCACUUUGAUCAGGCUGGGAAAGCAGCUAGUCCUUGGUCGGUUCUAGUUAAGUUGCUUCACUCAGCAGAUCUGCUAAAACAGCAGCAUGACCUGCUACUGUUAUGUGGAACUGCCCAUUUCAAAACGAGGUUAAACCAUGUCUUUUGGCUGUAGGAAGUGUUAGACAGAACCAGUGUGAGGGGAUAAAUUUAUACUCUGUGUUCUCAACAGUUUUUACAGCUUCUAGUUUGAACGAUGAAGCCAUCCAUCCUUGAAGAUGCUUCCCGACACAAAUAAAAAACCAUGCUGUUAAAAUUAUGCAAUCAGCCUAAAUGGAUAAGAAUGAGAAAAUUCAGAGACGACAAAUGCAAGAAAGAAUGUUGUCAAAAUUACCCGAUCAAGAAGAUAGAUGGAUUCUUCUUUUGGCCUAUAAGUAGUGUUGCUUCUUCCACUGACAAUUUCCAAGGCAACAACUCCAAAACUGUAAACAUCUGCUUUGUCGGUUAAAUAGCCCCGCAUUGCAUAUUCAGGUGCCAUAUAUCCACUGCAAAAUGAGAGUAUGAUUUUACACAAAUUUUCCUUUUGAAAUGAAGGAUAAACACUGGUGAUCAAAAGCAAAAAAUUCUAGUAUGUGGUUUCCAAAGUGAUAACAGUGUCACUGCUUCCUAUUUGAGCUAAACAGAAAGAUAAAUAAUGAUACAAAAAAUUAUCACAGCCAUAAGAAUUUGGGUUACCUGAAUUCUGAAGCAGUAAGAAACCAUUGACAUCCAUUCAAAAGAAAGGAAAAGCCCAUUAAGUAAAAAUCAGGAGAUAGUGACUCACUAUGUACCAGCAAUCCGAGUGCUAAUGUGGGUGUUAUCCUCUUCAUCAAGUUUGGCCAAACCAAAGUCAGAUAUUUUGGGGUUAAGAUCCUUAUCAAGUAGCACAUUUGUGGCCUUGAUGUCUCGGUGGACGAUCUUCAGCCUUGAUUCUUCAUGAAGAUAAGCCAACCCUCUUGCUAUGCCAACACAGAUCCUGUGUCUAGUUGGCCAAUCCAAUUGUAAUUGACAUUCUUCGGGGCCUAAAUCAUCAUAUCAACCAAAAGUUAGAUGUAAGAAGCACAAUCACACAAGUUCAUAUACAUGUAGUUUUAUAGCAGAAGCAAUUGAGUAAAGCACGUAAGCAGAUGUGAAAAAAAACAGACCAAACAAAGCACGAGCGAGGCUGUUAUUUUCCAUGUACUCGUAUAUCAGCAACAACUGAUUUCCUUCUAUACAACAGCCAUAGAGCUUCACAAGAUGAGGAUGUUGAAGAGCAGAAAUCAUGCCUAUCUCAUUCACAAACUCACGGUUUCCUUGUUUUGAUUUGGAAGAAAGCUGCUUCACUGCAAUUAUGGUGCCAUCGGAUAAGACGCCCUGCAUUUUGAGAAAUAAUGUCCUCUCUUCAGUAUAAAGUUUUAUGAGAACAAACUGCUUACCAAACAUCUUAAAUGCAUAAAAUGAGGGAAAACUAAUUCUUGUGCUGAAUACCUUGUAAACAGAACCAAAUCCACCUUCUCCAAUUUUGUUGGCAGCAUCAAAGUUGUUUGUUGCAGCCUUAAUUUGCCUUAAGGUAAACAAGCCAGUCUGCAGAUCUAGACCCUUUAACUCUGUAGAAGAAGCCAAGUUAGAUAAGAAAUAUAUCUAAUAAAAAGUUGCAAUCAUUUCUAAAUUCCUAAUAGUUUGAGAAGGAUUUUGAUGGAUUAUAACUGUAUCUUCUACAUCCAGAGAAAUCAACCCUGAUUAGAUACCAUGUUUUGGCAUGAAUGCCAGCAAACCAAUCCACUGCUACGACAUCAACAAUCAAAUGUUUUGAUAGACAAAUUUUUUCAUAAUCAAUACCUUGUUCCAACGUAUCUUUGCGCCUUAGGCAAUCUCUCCACCAAAGGAUACCUAUAAGCAGGAAGACAAGAAGAAUGACUCCAGCCACAAUGCCAACCACAACGCCAACAGAUAUACUACUGCUUCCAUUUUCGGUAGGAGGUAUAAAAUCUGCAAGAAAAAACAAAGUUAGAACAGAUACACAGAUGGAAUGGAUGCUUUUGGGCAAAUGAUGGCACAAAGAAAAACAAAAUCCAACCAUUAGUGAUGCUGCAAAAAGAGGCUAACAACAAAAAAUAUUUUAUCAACAUUAAUUCUUCAGAGAGUCGAAGCUAAAUAAACAUGAAAAGAUGCUCGAACUGUUGGAAAAUUUCAGAAGAGCACCACAUACAGAGCAAUGAAAUUUCCUGUAAUAUAAGUAGCAUCCAAAUAUAUAUAGAUAUAUCAAAACAUACUUGUGCUAAACCCUUCAAAAAAUAAUGAAUCAUGUCCAUGUUGGUUCCAAGUGACCUAAAGAAAAGAGGAGUUGUGCAGACUGAACCAAAUCACUUAACUAUAAUAAAUGUGUAAUUUGAGAAAAAGUAGAAGAACAAACCCUUUUACAUCCCAACUAUUCAAAAUUGUUGAACUACUAAUUUUCCUAAAAGCUUAACCUUACCCUCCUUUACUACCCGCAUGUGGAGAGACAAAUAGAAUUUGGAUUCAUAUCCAAUGGACAAAGAUAGACAAAAUUUGGAUUUUUAUUCAACAAACAAAUAAAGGAAAUGCAAAUUGCAGAGAGAAGGAUCAAACCCAGGACCUCCCCCCAAACCAAGCUUUGAAAUCAUGUUCAACUACCAAUUUUCCUAAAAGCUUAAGCUUGUAGGAUUUGGGCUCAAUAUGCAUAUCAUGCUUUUUAAUAAAAAUGAUAAAGAAAAUUCAUAAAACAAGCUCAGAAAAUGUGUGACGUACCAGGGUCCACAGAAAUAGCUGAUAUAAGAGGACCAUAAACUCCUCUAACUGGGAUACCUGUAGUCCCUUUCCCAGCCCAAUAGAAGCGAAUUUCCAAGGUAUUAUUAGUCACAACUGCAGUAAAAUAUUUUAAGAUUUCCUUGCUAACACCUCCUGCUUCAUCCUCAAUAUUGAAAUCCUUGAGAACCAACUUAUCCUGCAACAAACCACUCCAAUUACAACUGAAAUUUUCAAGGUGCUAUAAAUUGAAAUGGUGUCCCAAGAUUUCUCUAAAACUUUGUGCAAAAAAGUUGAAUUUUUAUAUAGGUUAAAGUCAAGAACUCAAAAUGGCUUGAAUCCAAAAUGCUAAAGUUUCUUGUACUUUUUAAAAUUAGAACUUUGGUUGGUGAACAUGGAAGUAAUGUGAUUCAUUACCUGAACAUAAACAUCAAACAAACGCCUACCAAGGCUGCUAUAUGUUUUGUCAUCAGUAAAGGUGAUCUCUGCAAAGUGAAGCUUUACUGUGUAGUUUCCAUUUUCCAGACAGAAUCCAUAAUAAGUGAGAGACAGGGCAGAGAGGCGUGCGGUUGUAUACAGUCCAGAAUUUUCCAUGAUGAGUCUAGACACGUUUGUCCCAAUAAAGGAGUCCGUAGGGCGGUCAUCGUCCAUGAAGUGACCUGUGCUGCUGAAUGCCCAGUUUGUUCUACUCUGAUAGAACUUUGAUGGUCCACCAGAAUCUGUGUCAUCUUCAUAUGUGGUAUUUCCAUCAACAAUUACUUCUUUUCCACCACAAUUUAUGUGCAUGGAGUAAAACUCUGGAAAAAAAACCUACAAUAGAUUGGUGAAAUUGAACAAGAAAAGAAAAAGGAUAUUUAGAAAAAGGCACAAGAAAAUACAUCCAUUAACCACCCUUCCCGAACUUUUACUUUAAUCAGCAAACUUGUGACACUGUUUUGGACUGUAUACCAAUCCAUUUUUAAUAGACCAUGUGAUCCAAUGGAAAGAUUUCAACCCCAAAUGCAUUAGCAGUACCCUAAAUGCACAGGGCAAAGCACAAGAAAGGAGAAUGCCUAUCUUGAAGAGAUUUUGAGACACGGUGUGCUGAAAUGUGGGUCGUCUACAAAGCUGGUCUGAUCAGUGUUUUAUCAACACUAGAAGCACAAAUUUUGAGUUGAAGAUUAAUCAGACUCAUCUCAAGUUAUGGAAAGUGAAAUUGAUGACAUUCUAAAAUCCAUUUAUAUUCUUCCAUUAAUUUCAUUCUUUUGUAUUUCUUAAUUAACAAUGUCAAGAUAGCAUAUGAUAUUUAAACUUACUUUUUGGGCAAUUAAAGCUUCUCAAGCACGAGACAAUUCCACUGAGAAAACAACGUAAUGCCCAGCAAAAGUCAGCAUCACAACAUCAUAUUUGAAUAUUACAUGACAAGGAAAGAAUCGUAGUGCUGAAAAAAAUUAUUGGCUUCAGAAAACAUUUAUUUAUUACAAUCCUUAAAAUGGUAAUUAGAAACUCACGAGUUAUUUCCUCCUGAUGAGCUUCCAAACAAAUUUCUGUAGAAAAUAUCACAAUAUUGAAAGUUUAGAUGCUAAACAGAUGAUUUUACACAGCAAAUAAUACAGAAAAGAAAUAUCUUAUGUUAGAUAAGAGUAUUCUUACACACUCCGUUCUUGACAUCCUCUUGAGCUUUCACUAGUAAAGUUAUUGUAUGAAAGAUCACUGCACACAGUAUUCACAGUUUAAUUCAUCAUAGUUUUCCAUGCAGAAUGAACAUCAAGUUAAUAAAUCAUGACUUCACAUGAACAGAAUUGCAUAUAGUAUUUGAUUAUCUGAACCUUAUUUCUAAAUAACCCAAGAGAUGAAGUGUCUUGUGCCAUUAGCCAUGCAACACACAACCAAUAGCUCAGUUGUUCCUUUAGGAGUGGUCCUAAACCACUUUGAGCUAUAGUGCAAAGAACUAUUCCCCCAAGCCUAAAAUACUCUACAAUCCAUCUAUCCAUCCUCACAUAUCACCCUCUUUUUUGUCUAGAAUCCAAGUUAUAUGCAAAAGGGAGCGGAAAUACGACUUAUUGCUUUUGGUGGCAAGAGUUUUCAAUGUGCAACAGCUGUUUGUGUAAAGGAAUGAGGAAAUCGUGUUUUGCAUGAAAAAUUCUGUAGUAUGUCUUCGUACAAAGCAUGAACAGUUUUAAUCAGAUUCCUUAAUAGCACAGAAUAAAAGAACAAUUAUCUCUUCCAAAUUUUAGAACUAACAGAAUGUUUGCUACCCAAAUAUUUGAAAUAUUAAUCGAUAAUCAGAAUUCAUGGCGAAACAUAGAAUCAACAUUCAAAGCCAAAUUUAUUUGCUGUAAGGAUGCAAGUGUAUGCCCAUUAAAACUAAUAAAAAAAAAUAGAAGCAAGAAAGUAAUAAAAGCAAAUUGAUAGUUAACAUGUGAUGAGUAGAAACAAACAAACAUAGCCACAACAAUAUAUAAAGCAUUUGAGAAAAAAAUUUACUAGUUGUCUCCUCUUUUCAGCAUCCAAUCAGGCACGGCUCCAGUUAGCAUGUUUCCGGUAAAAUACCUACAUAACAUUGAGUUGUCCAACUUUAGUAUUGCUCAAGUAGUUUUCUUCACUAGAGUAACAUCUGAAGCAUGAUAGGAAAAACUUACUAGUAAUUCCCCCUUCAAGGACCAAAAUUAGUUUUCAAUCAAUCAGAAUGAAUUCAUCUGUCAAUUGGCUCUUUAUUCAGAAGGCUUUUAAAGCCAACAUAUGUGAUUUAGUCACUCAAUCAAUUUGAUCCUAGGCUCUAAAAUCUCCUGGUUCAUUUAGGCAAUUAACUUGGUCUUUUAGAUUAACCUUUACUUGUAGCACAUUGGACUUCUUUCUUCAUUUAGACCAUUAAACUCAUCUUUCAGAUUCAGUACUGAAGCCCAACCAAUGUGGUUUAGUCUUAAAAUCAAUUCAACUCCACAUCCUCUAAGCUUUCUUGGUUCAUUUAGGCCAUUAUAUUGGUUUUUCAUUUCAAUCUGUUGAUUAUUAGGUAAUUUCACCCCUUGGAAUCAGCUUGAAUAGUUGUCAAAACCUAAAGAAGAAAUUUUUAUAUGAAAAUACACUGCUUACAUGUAAUCUGCAUUUGAUAGACCGACAAAGCUGCUUGGAAUUUCUCCAGUUAGUUUGUUAAAACUCAGAUCUCUGCAAGAGAAUCAUAAACAGAAUGCAUUAAAAAUUGCUCUACCCCGAAAGAGUCGAACACCUGAGAAUGGAAAAACAAUACCAAGAAACCGAAAUGACAUGCUGAAAUGAAUAAAUAUGAAGUUUAUGGAAUUGUGUAUGCAUCAUAACAAUUUCUUAAUAAGGCAAAUGAUACAAAGUAGGAGCUAUGUCUCAAGCUCCUUCCACCACAUAACCGUUUAUGAUUAGCACUUGUCACUGGAUACUGGCAGCUUAUACAUUGACCAUCUGUUUUUCUUCUUGGCUCAAAAUACUACUCUAGAUGCAUUUCAGAUGGUCUAAAUUAUCUGCGAGUAAAGAUUCCCUUUCCACAUUUUGUCCGAUUAAGAAUCUAGAUCCCAGAAAUUAUGACAACUAAACUCAUAAAGCCAUCCACUUCAGAGAGACAAAAUGGCUAUUUAUCAAUUUUUACUUGAUACGUCAUGAAACAUACAUGCUGAAUAGGCAGGUGCAAAUAGCAAUGUGUGAGCCCAUGCAACAAGCAGGCUCCUACUUAGCAGUGAAUAUGACACUCAAAGAAGCAUUUAUGAAGUUAUAGAAAAGCCAGACUACUAGGAGCCUUCUCGACAUGUCUCCAGGGUCUUAUUUUCUAUCUAUUCAUACAAACAAUGCAAGCUGUAAGCAGCUUAUUCAAAAUCCAAAUUAGUCAAAACACAGAGAUGCGGUGACCACUCAAGGAACAUCACAAGCUAUGCAAGAAGUCAUAACAUGAAACAAUCUCUGAAUUAGUAGAAAAACACGUUUCAAAGAAUCUUAACAAUUAGUCUGCAACAGGUAAAGGGGAAAAGAUACUAAAUAUAUACUGACAGGGUUUUCAAUUUUGUCAUUUCCCCAAGGUAAUCAGGUAGCGGGUCAACAAUAUUGCAACUCCUCAAUAUCCUGCAAUCAAAUCAAAUAUAUAUCACCAAAAAUCUCGAAAAUAUGUUCUAUGUACUGUGUAUUAUCAAGGGCAAUCUACUCACAGUGUUUUCAAGUCUCUCAUAUCACUCAAUGGUGGAAAAGUUGCUUCAGUUCCAUUCAGGUCACUGAUUCUCCUGAACAUAGAAAUUUAAUAAAAAAUAAAAAUAUAAUAAUUUCAAUCCAUAUAAAUUAUCAAAGCUAUGGCAUAGGAGAGCUUUACUCACAAGUCAGUUAUUUUUGUCAAAAGGGCAAUGCCAGAAGGAAUCGGCCCACUGAAACCACUCCCUUGAAUCACUCUGUCGGUAGCAAAUUUCAAUUAGAAUAUGUGAUUAUAAAUGAAAUCAUGCCACUCAUACCAACUCAAACAUCAGAUUCAACAAAGCUCUCACAAUUUUUCAAGUUUUGUCCAGUUCUGUAUAAAAUUGGGUAUCUUUCCUGUGAACUGAUUAUCUCCAACCCGACUGCAUUGAAUUAAAACAAAGAUACAAUAGCCCCAAUCUCAGAAUUCAACCAAAAAAAGAUGCUAAUUUAUGCAUACAAAAACCCGAAAAAAGAAAAGACACUUCAAAAUCUUACAAGUCCUUCAAUGUGGUAAGCCCUGCAAAUGUUUGUGGUAACUCCCCAGUGAAGUUGUUUGAGGUAAGAAGUCUUCAACAACGAAAAACACAACCAAACCAAUAAACCCACCAGCGUUAAUAAUAAAAAAAAACGGUAACACCCAUAAUUGGCAAAAUCUACAAACAAAAGGGUCUUACAUUCUCUCUAUACUGGGCAGAUUCCCAAGCUCCUGAGGAAGAACCCCUGAAAGCUGAUUGAACUCCACGGUUCUACGCAUAUCAAAUCCAAAAUUUUUGCAUCAAAAAAAUAAUUCUUAAAAGAUCACACACUGAAAAGGGAAACAAAUGGGUAAUUAGAAAUUCACAGGUUUGCAAGAGUAGAGAUGUUUCCAAGCUCUUUGGGAAUCGAACCCGUUAAUUGGUUUCCGAUCAGAGAACUGCAACAACACCCACAUACCAAAUUAAAAAAAAAUAAAAAAUGAACUGCUUAAAGGUUCAUAUUGAAUAAGCCAUCAAAAUUUCAACCAUAUAUACAUAGAUGGAGAGAAAGCAUACAUGUUUACUAGUUGCAUUGUACCCCAUUCUGGAGGGAUUGAACCGUUGAGGUAGUUGCGGGUGAAGUCACUGUGACGGAGAUGAAUUACAGUUAAGUUAGUUGAAGUCCUAAAUGGGUAAUUGAAGAAAUGGGUGAUGCCAAAAUUGGCAGAAAAAUUAAGUUAGAGAAAUACUCACAUUUCUUGGAGGUAAGGAAGCUUCACCAGCUCUGGUGGGAGAGAUCCCGGGAGAUUCUGAGUCUUGAGGACUCUACAAAGGAUAAAUACUCACGUUAACGGUUAUUAAUUAACUUAUGAUUGAUUUGUAUAUUUUUUAAUUAUUUUUCAAAUAUUCUAUAAAGAAAAAAAAAUUAGACUAGGUUGUUCCUUACAAAUUUUAAGGAAUAAUACAAGAAAAAGUACAAGAAAUAAAAUUUGGAAGAAAAUAAAAAAUUAAUUUAAAAUUAAUAAAUUAUUUUUAUAUAUUACUUCAAAUUUAUUAAGAUAUUUUACCUCUUUUAUAUAAAAGUUAAAUAAUUUUAAAAUAUAUAAAUUUUUAAUUAAUUUUAGUUAUAUUUAAAUUUUUUUAUACUUUUCAUAAAAAACUAAAUAUAAAAAAUAAAUUUUUUUUUGCAUUUAUUUUCUUUCCUUAGCAUUUUUCUCAUACCAAAUACAUUAAUAUUAACGCAUCUUUAUAUUUUUAAAAAUUAAAAACUAUUUUCAAAUAGAUUCUAAAAUUUUAACUUAGUAGAAAGCUUAACUUGAUCCAAAUACAAUUCAAGAAACUAGAUUCAUGGGGUGUUAUUGUUGUGCAUUUGUAUCGGUGUCAAAACGACCCAAUUUUUGGCUCUGGUGCCAAAGCAUUCCAGAGUGGCCUCCUCAGGAUUCGAACUCAAAACCAAGGCCCUUGUGAUUGCCCUCCUGGUACCAUCUAAGCCAAAAAUUGGGUCGUUUUAGCAUCGAUACAAAUGAGUCAAAAAUCGGGUUGCUUUGACACCGAUACAAAUGCACAACAAAAAGGUUAGCCUUUUUUUGCAACAUUUGGGUGUUGCCACCAUUUGUAUUGGUGCCAAAGUGACCCAGAGUGGCCUCCCUAGGAUUCAAACUCAAAACCAAGGCCUUUGUAGUUGCCCUAAUAAGUUAUGUAUACAUUUUUAAGUUUUAUUAUUUAUAUUAUAAUUUUAUAUGUUUAUAUUUAAAUUUCAUUAUAUCUCACUAUACAUAUUCAAUGGCCUUGAUUUAGACCAGGAUACGUAUAGCUUUGCAUUUCCCGUCCGUAUAUAUCCCCAAGGGCCCAACCUCACUUGGCUGCCGACAUAAAAAAGGUGGGCCCAUUGGACCUCAGUUCCUAAUUGGGCCGCCCACAUGAUAAGAUUCUCCUUUCGAGUUUCGUCCUAAGGCUCCUAAGUCCUAACAUCCCAGAAUGGGAUCAGUCUGAAAUUAUUGGACCUGAAGGCCAAUUUAGAAGUCAAAGUCAACACAACAAAUUGGGCCCACCCACCUAACUCAUUAUUAUAAAUAUAUAAAAUUAUAUUAUGGAAAAAUAAAAUAAAAGAGUACUUAAUAUAAUAAAUCCUUAUGAUAUUCAAAUGUCAAUAUUAAAAUGAAAUUUAUUUAUUCACUAAAUAUGGUCAUUGAUAUUACAACCUUCUUUUUAUAUAAGUUAGGUAAAUUAGGGUGGAGAGUGGAAGCCAACUAUUCCAUAUAAAGUCCUUCAAUAAAAUAUUUCACAUUAAUUUAUUUUCACAUAUAACAUAUUCUAAAAUAAUUGGAAUGUGUUUUGGUAUUAAAAAAAAUGAAAAUAGUAUGAACCAAAAAAUACAUAAAUUAUAUUACAUUAAAGUUAUAUUUGUUUCCCAUAAAAUACUAAGAAAAAAAAAGAGAAUCAAAAUGGUUUUUUAUAUUUGAUUUAACCAUAAAAAAUAUAAAUAAAUAAAUAAAUAUAAUUAAAAUUUAUCAAAAUUUUAUAUAUUUUUAAAUUAUCUAGUUUACAUAUAAUAAAAAGAAAUAAAUAAAAUGAGUUUAAAGAAGUAUGUAAAAAUAAUUUAUUAAAUUAAAAAAAAAAUCUUAACUUUUUAUUUCCUUUUACUUUUUUUCUCAAUUUUGUUUCCUCAAAUUUUUUAAGAACCAAAUAUAGGCUAAAACUUUUGUUUUUUAUUUGAAGUUUUAAUAAACUUUGAAAUAUUUUAUUUCUAUUUUUUGAGUUAUAUGGUUCAAAAUUUAUACAAAUUCAGACGUAUUUAGAUUUCAAAUUGAAAAUAAAAACUUUAUUCAUAAUCCGAUGAUUAUUGUUUGUUUUCUUAAUUGAAUUGUAAUUAAACUGACUCAAUCCUUUUAGUAACUAAAAAAAAUUGAGCAAAUAAAUAGAAGUUUAAUUAACUUACAUGCUAACAACGUGGCAAACAGUGUUGUUGGUGCAGCUACAAGUGACAGCAUUUUCCGACCCCUUCACCGGAUUCUUCGUCGCCCAACCCCACUCGCCGCCGCACGGAUCCGCACUGAAGUUCCAGUCCGUCUUCCCCAGAGUUUUCGCGAUCUCUUCCAGAGCUUCCACUGUAAAGUGUAAUAAUAAUAAGAUUGAUUUUUGAGAGUGUAUAUAUAUAUAGAACUAUGAAAAAUGAGGUAGAAUGAAUGGUAGUAUCACCUUCAUUAUUUGGGAGGAGAGUUGCAGAGAAGGUGAGAGUUGUGAAGAAAGCGAAGGCAAUGAGUAAAGAAGAGAGAAGGCUGUUAAUGGAGGGCAUGGUUUUAGGGUUGUUGCAGAGGAGGAGGGCUUGGGGUUUGGAGGAGCACUAGAUGAUGGAUGAAGAGUGAAUGCAUGAUUUGUGGUAGAGGGUCUUUAUCGUGCACGGGAGGAGAGAGAAAAAGAGAAGACUCAGGGCGAAGACUUCGAUACAUCGUUAUAUCGUACCGUACCAUGGUUAUAUCCGUACCAUGGUUAAUGAUUUUACAUUUGAUUAAUCAAAAAGCUUUUUUUUUUCCGCAAGAUAAAGUUUUUCAAAAAAUAAAUAUUUAAAACUUUUUUCAAAUUCAUAUUUAUACUGAAACAAAAACAUAAGUUCAAUGUCUUGAAAUUUUUAUAUGUGAACUUAUAUAAUCAAUAUGAUAAUAUCAUAAAUUAAUGUUAUUUUAUUUUUUGCAUUGUGAUUCAUAAUGUAGUUGAAUGCAUUAUUACUUGAUUUUUUAUGGAUUCAUCUUAAUUCACUUGACUGACUCAUCAUUAAGUCAAGUGAUCUAAAUUUUAUGUGUGUAAUGUGGUAUAUAUGAAUAUAUUUAUUUAUAUAUAUACAUAAAGGAAAAAGAAAGACUUUUGCUCUGUUUUGUUUUUCUCUUGAGGGCUGAAAGGGCACGUACUGCGAACUCGAGCACACACACGGACUGAAUUUUGGUGUAGAAAGGGAAGAGCUCAUUGAACCUGGAUUUUCACACCAUUAUGAACUGAGCGUAUUAUUUGAUACCAGUGGAACACAAAAAUGACUUUUCAUGUGAUUAAUCAAGGUAAACAUUUCAUCAAUUGCCUUUUUACUGUAUGCUUUAAUGUCAACAUGUGAUAUAUCGUUAUAUUGUACCGUAACCAUGGUUAUAUCGUAUUGUACCAUGGUUAAUGAUUUUACAUUUGAUUAAUCAAAAAGCAUUUUUUCCCCCAAAUUUUAAAGAUAAAGGUUUUAAAAAAAAAAAAAAUUUUAAAAACUUUUUUCAAUUCCACAAGUAUGUCUAGACUUCCAUAUUUAUACUAAAACAAAAACACAAUUUAUUUUCUAUCUUAUCAAGGGUGAUCAAUAUAUAUAUAUAUAUAAACACACGAUAUUUAGUAUAUUCUUUUUAUUUUAAAAUUUUAUAAUUAAUUAUAGUAAUAAAAACUGAUAAAAAGAUAAAAUUUAAUAAUUGUUGGAGACAUUAUCAUUUCAUAUUCUUCAAUUAUUUUACCUUCUAAAGUUAAACCCACUAACAUGAACAGCUCAAUUCAUUUAUAUAUUUCUUGGAUUCACCACUGAAAAUACCCCAAAAAAAAAAAAAAAAAUUCACAAGACAACGGAUUUACAGGCCAUGGAUUGCUGGUGACAGCUCAAGUUUGCUUCAUAGUCAACUCAAUACAAUUUUAUUUUAUUUUUCAAUAUAAUAUGGCCAUGUGGUGAAUAUCCUAUGCAGCAAGAAGUUGGUUCUCAUUUUCUAAGACUUUCUCACCAGCCAAACAUUGUGUAAUAUCAAAGGUAUGAAUAAAAAGAAUUUUCUUCUUUCUGAGUUUUUUUUAAAUCCAAGUUGAGGAAGUUGACUUGGGGAAUAAUACCAAGUUGCAAUGCCGUAGCAAAGAAGAUAACAAUUUUGAAAUUAUCGUCUCCUUCAAGUCUUUGUCACCACCAAACCUAUGGAUUUUCAGAUAAAGUUCUGUACUUAUUGAUUAAGUUAAGUCAUGUUGACAAAUUAGUGGUCAUCAAGUACAAGUUCCUUACACUUUCAUAUAGGUUUGUACUUUUUUUUUCUUUCUAAUAAUUAAAAUUAAUUUUUGGAUCAUGGGAAAUUAAAUGGAGGAAAAGGACCAAAAGGCCAAAAAUAAUUUAAAUUUUUUUAUUUAAUUUAUUGUUAAAAAUAUGAAAAAAAAAUCAAAUAAAAUAAUAAAUAGUUAUAUUUUCAAGUACUACAUUUAAAAAGUAUAUGAAAACUUUAAUUUUAUCAUAAGAAAAUGUUAUUUAUUUUAAUUUUUAAGGUGGUAUUUAUAUAUUAGGAAAUCUUUUUCCUUUUUUCUUUUUAAUAAUAUUUAAAACAAGUCCUCUAAAAUCUAGAUUUUUUUCUUUCAUAAAAUUGGAGUGGGUGUAUAAUAUCAUCUUUCCAUGAAAAGGGAUUCAAAGAAGGUGUGUGAACUUUUGUAUUUUAGCUUAAUAGAAUGAAGCAGCCACCCUUUGUUGACGAAGCUAAAUCUUUCUAUUGUAGGCUUCUAGCUAUACAUUAAAAUAUAUAUAUACAUAUAUAAAAGAGAAAAAGUAAUCAAGGGUAAAAAAUGUGUUUAAAAAAUAUUUUUUUUAUUUAAUCAAUUAUAUUACAUUAAAUAUUAAUAUAAUGUAAUAUAUUUAACUAUAUGUUAUAUAAUUAUAAGCUGUUGUGGCUCACUCGGAAGUUUAUGAUAGACUUAUUUACUUAAUAUGACUUAAUAGUUUAAUUUAAAUUAUUAAAUAUAUUAAGUAUAUUAGAAUAAUAGUUUGAUAUCUCCUUCUAACUUGUUUUCAAACUAAGAAACAUAUCCAUUAAUCCAAAAGUCUCUUUGACGAACAAUCUUCAAUGCUUUUAUACAUUUAUAAUACCUGAGGUGUUGUCUAAAUAUAAUUUUACUGAAAAUUAUGACUUUGACUUUAUCUUCGAUUAAAAAACUAUCUCAACUAGGUUAAGAAAAGAGCAUCAAAGCCACAAAAUCUGUAGAGAAACUAAAGAUGCCAAAAACCGAUAAAUGAGCACAAAUGCUUCAUAGAUUGAUGAACAAGCCUUUCUUUCAUACACAACUCAGAAACAUAUAUCCCAAACAUACAUCUUUGAUAAAAUUGAUAACUUUUUUCUGUAAAACCGUAUGGAUUACAGGACAUGAAAAUAUUUACAAAUUCAAAGAAAUACUAUCCACCCACCUACAUAAAUGGUGUCAAAGAAGAACAUAAAGAAGAAUUGAAAACCAACAUUUAAUCUCUGUUCUCCCAAUAUUCAAAAUCCAAGGUGACUGGGUAGAGAUCAGGGAUGGAUAAAGAAGCAGUCCAUGGCCUGUCUGGCAUGCUCUCGCUCACACCCAUGAUCUUUUCUUGGGUGUAGUAAUAAUGCUCCUUCAUCUCCUCGAGCUUUAAGUCAUCACUAGGAACACUGGGAUCAGAAACAAUGUCCUGAACAGUGGUUCUGCCUUCAAGCAUGCUCACAACUGAUGACAUAGCUGGCCUGACUGCUGGAGAGACCUUUGUGCUCAAGAGAGCUAUGUUGAUCAUCGCCAAGACCUCUUCCUUGUUGAAGUCUGAGCCCAAUCUGGGGUCAACUAGAUCCAUCAAAUUCCCCUCCCCUUUUAAUGAGAGUGCCUAGAAAUUAAGAAAGAAAAAGAGAGCUUGUGUUUAAAUCAAGCCAUAUGGACUCAGGUGGUAAGACUCUAUUUGUUUCAACAUAUGCUGAAUGAAGCCAUGGAAAUGUCACAACCACAUUGAAUGAGUUUAAUAUUUGGUAUGUGAUGAAUGGAAUGUGCCCAGCUAGCCUGCUACCCAGAAAGAGGCAUGCUAAUAUAGGGGUUUGCUCACAGUGAUCAAGGAAGGUCCCAAUGACGUCUUAUUGCUAAUACAGUAAUAUCACACAAUUUGUAUAAUUGAAGUCAUUCAGGAUGGGAGCAUAUACUACCUGCUUCUUCGUUUAAGGUUGAAAAGGAAGCAAUGCAUGUAAGUAUUAGUAGUAUUGGGGCAAUUUCGAUUUGUCUGAGAAAAUUUUUGAUCAAGAGAGUCUAUUUGAUUCAUAUAGCAUCAUGAACUAGGAAAAUGGUCCAAGGGAUGCCAUGAAUCAGAAUAUAACUUCAGCCCAAGAUAGGAAAAUGUAGUUGCCAUGAUGUGGUGACUAUAUUUUUAUAUAUAUAAUUCAAGAGCCAUGGUUAGGGAUUCAUGAUUCGGAUCCUAUUCACUUCCACAUUGAUCAGGCUGGGAAAGCAGCCAGUCCUUGGUCGGUUCUAGUUAAGUUGCUUUACUCAACAGAUUGGCAAAAACAGCAGCAUGACCCGCGACUGUUAUGUGGAACUGCCCAUUUCAAAAUGAGGUUAAAGCAUGUCUUUUGGCUAUAGGAAGUGUUAGACAGAACUAGUGUGAGGGGAUAAAUUUAUUCUCUGGGUUCUCAACAGGUUUUACAGCUUGUAGUUUGAAUGAUGAAGCCAUUCAUCCUUGACGAUGCUUCCCGACACAAAUAACAAAUCAUGCUGUUAAGAAUGAGAAAAUUCAGAGAUGACAUAUGCAAGAAAGAAUGUUGUCGAAAUUACCCAAUCAAGAAGAUAGAUGCAUUCCUCUUUUGGCCUAUAAGUAGUGUUUCUUCUUCCACUGACAAUUUCCAAGGCAACAAUUCCAAAACUGUAAACAUCUGCUUUGUCAGUUAAAUAGCCCCGAAAUGCAUAUUCAGGUGCCAUAUAUCCACAGCAAAAUGAGGGUAUGAUUUUACACAAAUUUUCCAUUUGCAUGAAGGAUCAACACUGGUGAUCAAAAGCAAAAAUUUCUAGGAUGUGGUUUCCAAAGUGAUAUCAGUAUCACUGCUUCCUAUUUGAGCUAAACGGAAAGAUAAAUAAUGAUACUGAAAUUAUCACAGCCAUAAAGAUCUGGAUUACCUGAAUUCUGAAAGAGUAAGAAACCAUUGACAUCCAUUCAAAAGAAAGAAAAAGCCCAUUAACUAAAAAUCAGGAGACAGUGACUCACAAUGCACCAGCAUUCCGGGUGCUAAUGUGGGUGUUAUCCUCUUCAUCAAGUUUGGCCAAACCAAAGUCAGAUAUUUUGGGGUUAAGAUUCUUAUCAAGCAGCACAUUUGUGGCCUUGAUGUCUAGGUGGAUGAUCUUCAGCCUUGAUUCUUCAUGAAGAUAAGCCAACACUCUUGCUAUGCCAACACAGAUCCUGUGCCUAGUUGGCCAAUCCAAUUGUAAUUGACAUUCUUCGGGGCCUAAAUCAUCAUAUCAACCAAAAGUUAGAUGUAAGAAGCACUCAAAUCACACAAGUUCAUAUACAUGUAGUUUUAUAGCAGAAGCAAUUGAGCAAGGCACGUAAGCAGAUGUGAAAAAAACAGACCAAACAAAGCACGAGCGAGGCUGUUAUUCUCCAUUUACUCAUAUAUCAGCAACAACUGAUUUCCUUCUAUACAACAGCCAUAGAGCUUCACAAGAUGAGGAUGUUGAAGAGCAGAAAUCAUGCCUAUCUCAUUCACAAACUCACGGUUUCCUUGUUUUGACUUGGAAGAAAGCUGCUUCACUGCAAUUACGGUGCCAUCCGAUAAGAGGCCCUGCAUUUGAGAAAUAGUGUCUUCACUUCAGUAUAAAGUUUUAUGAUAACAAACUGCUUAAUGAACAGCUUAAAUGCAUAAAAUGAGGGAAAACUAAUUAUUGUGCUGAAUACCUUGUAAAUAGAACCAAAUCCAACUUCUCCAAUUUUGUUGGCAGCAUCCAAGUUGUUUGUGGCAGCCUUAAUUUGCCUUAGGGUAAACAAACCAGUGUGCUGAUCUAGACCCUUUAAAUCUGUAGAAGAAGCCAAGUUAGAUAAGAAAUAUAUCUAAAAAAAACUUGCAAUUAUUUCUACAUUCCUAAUAGUUUUAGAAGGAUUUUGAUGGAUUAUAACUGUAUCUUCUGUAGGGACCCCUCCCCCUGAUGACACGUGGCACAUACUUCCUGGUGACACAUGACACGUAUUCUCAUCCGGAUUACCCAAUCCGGAUUUCCCCAAGAGUACAUGUGGCGCGCUUCUCCUAUCCGGACUUCCUCAUGGUGAAGCACACGACACUCGCAAAUAUCACAUCCGGACGACUGACAUAUCCUAUCCGGGUAUGUUUGUCCGGAUCAUUGACUGAAGUAAGCAAGUCUUGCACGUCUUCACAACAGCCUGCCAUGACCCACGUUCCGCUACCUGCAGAGUGAAAGGACAAGAAUGAAGUGACGGCAAGUCACUUCCCAUGAUCUAUGACAGCCGCCGCGCUUCCCACAAUCUCUGUCAGCCGCUCGUAGGGUGAUGAUGGUCUUGCCACCACCUAGUGGCAUCAUGAUAAGCCAAAAUAUCUCUCUACCAUUAAAGAGGGAAACAAAGCUUCUGGUACUAUAUGUAUGAACCUUCACAUAAAAAGAAAGGUAAGCUUGCGAUACUUAGUAAAAGACCAACUGGUUUAUCUUUCUUUCCAUGGCUGACAAAACCGUCGGAGGGUGUGUCCGGACACCCUGUCCGGACGCCUUUUGCAGGAACGACUGAACCAGGAACUUAUAUUGGUUGAGAUCGUGCGUCCGUCCAUUUGGCAACUACGUGGAUCACCAGGGACGUGAGGCCUCAACAUCUUCUACAUCCAGAGAAAUCAACCCUGAUCAGAUACCAUGUUUUAGCAUGAAUGCCAGCAACCCAAUCCAUUGCUACAACAUCAACAAUGAAAUGUUUUGAUAUACAACAUUUUUCAUAAUCAAUACCUUGUUCCAAUGUAUCUUUGCGCCUUAGGCAGCCUCUCCACCAAAGGAUACCGAUAACCAGGAAGAUAAGAAGAAUGACUCCAGCCACAAUGCCAACCACAACGCUCACAGAUAUACUAGUACUGCCAUUUCUGGAAGGAGGUAUAAAAUCUGCAAUAAGAAAACAGGGUUAGAACAGAUACGCAGAUGGAAUGGAAGCUUUUAGGCAAAUGAUGGCACAAAGAAAAACAAAAUCGAACCAUUAGUAAUGCUGCAACAAGAGACUAAUCACAAAAAAUAUUUUAUCAACAUUAUUCUUCAGAGUCAAAGUCAAAUAAACAUGAAAAGAUGCUCAAACUGUUGGCAAAUUUCAGAAGAGCAACACAUAAAGAGCGAUGAAAUUUCCAAUGAUAUAGGUAGCAUCAAAGAAGAAUCAUUUGAGAUUCCAUAUAUAUUAAAACAGAGUUGUGCCAAACCCUUCAAAAAAUAAUGAAUCAUGUCCAUGUUGGUUCCAAGUGCCCUAAAGAAAAGAGGAGUUGCGCAGACUGAACCAAGUCACUAAACUAAAAAAAUGUGUAAUUUGAGAAGUAGAAGAACAAUACCCUUUUGCAUACCAACUAUUCAAAAUUGUUGAACUACCAAUUUUCCUAAAUGUUUAAGCUUAAGCUCCCUCAUGUGUGGUCCCAUGCCCACAGGUGGAGGAACAAACAAAAUCUGGAUUCAUAUCCCAAUAGACAAAGAUAGACAAAAUUUGGAUUCAAACAAACAAAGGAAAUGCAAUCUGAUACUCUAAUUAUUAAAAAGCUACUAAAAAAACAUAGACAACAAUAAUGAAUAAAAAGUAAAAGUAGUUCGGAGUUAUUACCAUUUAAUGAUAUUUAUAUAAGUAAUAAUUUGAGUUUAAUAAAUAUUAUUUUUACGUUAGAAUACAUGAAAUUCGAAUGAUUUUUUUAGAGGGUUUUUUUAUUAUUAUUAUUAUUUAAAAGUGUGGACUAAACAUGCUAUUUCCAUAAAAUAUAAAUGGGUUUUCUUUGAAAAGGAUUUAUUCUUUCAAAGUGAAAAUUAGUUUGCAUUUUGUGAGAAAUAUUCCUUGAAAAUGCCUAUAAAUCCAUUCACUCCACACUGAACCAGGUAUUGCACGCACCACGAGGAACCAAGAACCAUACCAACACACAAAUCAUAGAGAGGAGGAACCAAUACACAACUCAUGGAGAGAGAGAGAGAGAGAGAGAGAGGAUUUACCUCUGCAAAGCACAGCCCUGGGGCUGCCAUCUGAACUUGAGAUGCAAAUCAUCCAUACGCACAUUCCUCUGGCAAUUGAACUCCCUCUCUAUGAAUGGGCAUUCCUCCGCCUUGUACAGAGGAUAUGUCUCAUCCCUAACCCAUAUCCCUUGAAAAAAAUCACACUUCUCCCCACUCCCAACCGCAUUUCCAAUACAGACAACAACAACAACAAAAAUGAACAAAACACCCUGAACCCAUGAACCCAUUUCUCAAUCUCAAGCUCCCCAAGAGAGAGAAACAGAGAUGGGUUUUGUGUGGAAUUCUACUCUAGUAAAGACCCAUUUCCCAUGUCUCAAGAUUUCUAUUUAAUAUAUAGACAAAAGAAGGAGGAUGUAGAAAGAGAGUAAUGUUUCAUUGUGGGUAAAUGAGGAAGUGAUUUGUCUCUGUUUUUCAAAAUAGGAAAGGAGAACUUUGGGUGUGUUGUCAUGUAUGGUCACAAUGGUGUGAUAAUAUAUUAAUAUGUACAGGAGAUGCCCUGGAUAAUAAGGUAUCAUGUGGACUUUUGACCAAAACUCAGCCAAUGAGAGGCCCUUGGUUGGUUUGGUUUUCUCCAUGGGAUAACUACUUUUUCUUUCUUUUUUCAUUUUUGGAUUUCUUAAAUUUUUUAAUUCACGUAACUAUGAGUCCUUCGAUAGUGUCAAAUUGAUACCUACCAAAAAUUAAACCAAUCUUAAUAUACCACUUUUAUAAUUUUAUCUCAGAAUUUUGUAAUUCACUUACAUUUCGUUUAUUUGUAAUCAGUCUCAUACUCAUUUGCUCCAUUAAUGGCUUCUAGGUCCAUGCUUGUCUUCUUCCUCUUGUUCAACCACUUAUGUCAUCUUUCUUCCUUUAACUAUGUUUUUUAUUUUUUUUAUUUUUAUUUUAUUGAAUUUGAAUUAAAGUGGGGAAGAAGAUGGGAUAAUUUAUUUAUUUUUUAACUUCACAGACCUAUUUUAUUAAAAAUUUAAAAAGAAAAUUGUAAAAACUUAAAGAUUUGUCCAAAUGGAAUUUACUCAUUUGAUUCUCUUUUUAAAUAUUUAUGCCAAAAAAGGGUUUCUAACUCUAGACAAAAUUAUCCUACUUCUAAGCCUUAUAAAAACAAUUAGAGAGAGAGAGAGAGAGAGAGAGUUUUUUUAUUUUAUUUUAUUUAUCUACUCGAUAAUGAUUUGUCAUAUUAUUAGAUGAUACAAAUUGAAUAUAAAAAAAAGAGAAGUACAAUUUGCCUUAAUUGAAAAGUUUUUUGGUUGACUAUCCUAAUCUAUGGUUUGGAGGCAUCGAUGAAGGAUUAAUGGCUCUAUCACUAAAUUCAAUAGAUGGAAUGGAUAAACGAUUUUUUUAUUAUUAUUAUUAAUUAACCAUGAUUCUGCCAUGGUUGGUAGUUUGUCUAUUCUUUUUAUAUGAAGUGUAAAUAAGUUUCAAUUUGUCUAAAAUUUAAAUAAAAAUUGAUGUAAAAUAGUAAAAGCAUCAUCCAAAUCUUAAAUUUCAAAGAAAAGUUAAAACCUUAUCAGACUAUCAAUUUGGAUUGCCUCGUGUUUUCAAUAUAUAAAAACCUUGUUUGAUAGUCAUGAGUGUAAUCAUGUCCCAAAAUAGUUUUAGAGUUGUAUUAAGAAUAUGUUUUGCAGUGAUUUUAGAAAGCGUUUAUAACAUUUCUAACAUUUAAAUGAUAAAAAUUUUCAAGUAUUAAAAAUAUCAAAAGCGCUUCCUAAAAUCAUUAUCAAACGAACUCUAAAACACUAUUAUUGUUUUCAUCAUUUUUUCAAUUUUGUUUUCCAAAACUUGUAUACAUAUUUUUAAUAAAUCCAAUUAGAUAAGAGCAUAUGUUUUCAAAUAUUUACAUUAUUUUUACAUUCAAAUACAAGUUUUGAAAGUCGUUCUUUUGGUCUAAUUAAUUGUUCAUGCAUAGCAAGACUAAGUUCCUGUUUGGAUUUGCUUCCAACUAGCCCAAUCAGGUUGAACAUUCAAGAGGAAGAAUGAAUUGGGUAUCAGUCAAUUUUUCUACUAGACUAGAUAAUUGAUAAAAUUAAAGAUUAAAAUAAAUGUCAGACAACAAUUGGAAUAAAAUACGAGUAAAAAUGAAAUAUUCACUCGUUCUAACUUCUUUCUGAGCUUAGAAAUAUAUCCAUUAAUCCAAAAGUCCCUUUGACCAACACUCUUUGAUGAAUGAACACAAAAGCUUCACAGUUUGAUGAACAAGCCUUUCUUUCAUACACAACUUAAACAUAUUUCCCAAACAUACAUUGUUUAUCAAAUUGAAAACUUUUGUCUGUAAAACCUAUGGAUUACAGGACAUGAAAAUAUUUAUACAAAUUCAAAGAAAUGCUAUGCACCAGCCUUCAUAAAUGGUGUCAAAGAAGAACACAAAGAAGAAUUGAAAGCCAACAUUUAAUCUCUCUUCUCCCAAUAUUCAGAAUCCAAGGUGACUGGGUAGAGGUCAGUGAUGGAUGAAGAAGCAGUCCAUGGCCCGUCUGGCAUGCUCUGAGCCUUGCUCUCGCUCACAUCCAUGCUCUUUUCUUGGAUGUGGCGAUAAUGCUCCUUCAUCUCCUUGAGCUUUAAGUCAUCACUAGGAGCACUGGGAUCAGAAACAAUGUCCUGAACAGCAGUUAUGCCUUCAAGCAUGCUCACAACUGAUGACAUAGCUGGCCUGACUGCUGAAGAGAUGUUCGUGCACAAGAGAGCUAUGUUGAGCAUUGCCAUGACCUCUUCCUUGUUGAAGUCUGAGCCCAAUCUGGGGUCGACUAGAUCCAUUAAGUUCCCCUUCUCUUUUAAAGAGAGUGCCUAGAAGUUGAGAAAGAAAGAAAAUCCAAUAAGAGAAUUGCUUGUGUUUAACUCAAGCAAUAGGGACUCAGGCUGCAAGACUAUUUGUUUCAACAUAUGCUGAAUGCAGCCAUGGAAAUGUCACAACCACAUUGAAUGAGAUCAAAAUUUGAUAUGUAAUGAAUGGAAUAUGCCCAGCUAGCCUGCUACCCAGAAAGAGGCAUGCUAAUAUAGGAGUUUCAUCAGAGUGGUCCAGGCAGGUCCUGGAUAAUGUCUUAUUACUAAUACGGUAAUACCACACAAUAUAAUUGAAGUCAUUCAGGAAGAAAGCAUAUACUACCUGCUUCUUCAUUUAAGGUUGAAAAGGAAGCAAUACAUGUAAGUAUUAGUAGUAUUGGGGCAAUUUCGGUUUGUCUGAGCAAAUUUUUGUUCUUGAGAGCCUAUUUAAUCCAUAUAGAGUCAUCAUCUAGGAAAAUGGUCCAAAGGAUGCCAUGAAUCAGAAUAUAACUUCGGCCCAAGAUAGGAAAAUGUAGUUGCCAUGAUGUGAUGACUAUAUAUUUUUAUAUAUAUAAUUCAAGCCAUGGUUAGGGGUUCAUGAUUCGGAUCCUAUUCACUUCCACUUUGAUCAGGCUGGGAAAGCAGCUAGUCCUUGGUCGGAUCUAGUUAAGUUGCUUUACUCAGCAGAUCUGCUAAAACAGCAGCAUGACCUGCUACUGUUAUGCAGAACUGCCCAUUUCAAAAUGAGGUUAAAGCAUGUCUUUUGGCUGUAGGAAGUGUUGGACAGAACCAGUGUGAGGGGAUAAAUUUAUACUCUGGGUUCUCAACAGGUUUUACAGCUUGUAGUUUGAAUGAUGAAGCCAUCCAUCCUUGAAGAUGCUUCCCGACACAAAUAACAAACCAUGCUGUUAAAAUUAUGCAAUCAGCCUAAAUGGAUAAGAAUGAGAAAAUUCAGAGACGACAAAUGCAAGAAAGAA
Molecule: long non-coding RNA, 22187 nt
Filed under: Vitis vinifera (wine grape)
Lineage: Eukaryota; Viridiplantae; Streptophyta; Magnoliopsida; Vitales; Vitaceae
Description: long non-coding RNA (VVIN_LNC006367)
Source: RNAcentral